This 436-nucleotide ribosomal RNA is filed under the name Phorcus atratus. RNAcentral describes it as "partial 16S ribosomal RNA". It matches the Rfam family "Bacterial large subunit ribosomal RNA", at positions 1925 to 2528 of the family's 2925-position model. Lineage: Eukaryota; Metazoa; Mollusca; Gastropoda; Trochida; Trochidae. The record is from RNAcentral.
AAACGGCCGCGGUACCCUAACCGUGCAAAGGUAGCAUAAUCAUUUGCCUUUUAAUUGGAGGCUGGUAUGAAUGGUUUGACGAGAGCUAUGCUGUCUCUUUCGAAAUAUUUAAAAAUUAACUUUUAGGUAAAGAGGCCUAAAUUUGUUUAAGGGACAAGAAGACCCUGUUGAGCUUUAGCGAUCUUGUAAAUUUUUGUGCAGUUUGCUUAUAUUUGUAUAUUUGUAUAUAACAUAAGUUUAUAGGUAAUCUUUAGUUGGGGCGACUGAGGAACAUGAAAAGCUUCCUUGAACUUAAGAGUGUGUUAAACAAUUAGUUUAUUGAUGCGUUUAUGUUAAUUUUGAUCCAAUUUAUUUUGAUUAAGAGAAAAAGUUACCACAGGGAUAACAGCGUAAUCUUUCUGGAGAGAUCUAAUCGAAAGAAGGGUUUGCGACCUCG